AAGCGGUGGAGCAUGUGGUUAAUUCGACGCAACGCGUAAGAACCUUACCAGGGCUUGACAUCCCCUGACCGCGUAUGAAAGUACGUUUUCGACCCUCGGGUGACAGGGAGACAGGUGGUGCAUGGUUGUCGUCAGCUCGUGUCGUGAGAUGUUGGGUUAAGUCCCGCAACGAGCGCAACCCCUACGUUUAGUUGCUAACAGGUGAAGCUGAGCACUCUAGACGAACUGCCGUUGACAAAACGGAGGAAGGUGGGGAUGACGUCAAAUCAUCAUGCCCCUUAUGUUCUGGGCUACACACGUGCUACAAUGGCCGGUACAGACGGAGGCGAAGCCGCGAGGCGGAGCAAAUCCGAAAAAGCCGGUCUCAGUUCGGAUUGCAGGCUGCAAUUCGCCUGCAUGAAGUCGGAGCUGCUAGUAACCGCAGGUCAGCUAUACUGCGGUGAAUACGUUCUCGGGCCUU
This 460-nucleotide ribosomal RNA is filed under the name uncultured Pelotomaculum sp. RNAcentral describes it as "bacterial SSU rRNA". It matches the Rfam family "Bacterial small subunit ribosomal RNA", at positions 927 to 1382 of the family's 1533-position model. Lineage: Bacteria; Bacillati; Bacillota; Clostridia; Eubacteriales; Desulfotomaculaceae. The record is from RNAcentral.